Molecule: long non-coding RNA, 2059 nt
Filed under: Monodelphis domestica (gray short-tailed opossum)
Lineage: Eukaryota; Metazoa; Chordata; Mammalia; Didelphimorphia; Didelphidae
Description: lncRNA (ENSMODG00000048211.1)
Source: RNAcentral
AUGGGUAGAGAUAGAAACAGUUUGAACCCAGGUUCCUUGAUACUCUAUAUACUCUAUAUCGAGUUUGUUUUUGUUUCUCUCCCUCUCCCUUUCCCUCUCCCUCUUCCUCUCCCUCUCCCUUUCCCUCUCUCUUUUCCUCUCCCUCUCUCCUCCUCCCUCCCCUUCCUUAUUUUAUUUCUUCCCUCCCUCCCCUUCCUUCUUUUCUUCCUUCCCUCCUCACCCUCCCUUUCCUUUCUUUCCCUCUUCUUCCUUCCCCCUUCCCUCCUUCCUUCAUCCCCCUCUCUCCUUUCCUUUCUUCCCUCCUUCUCUCCCCUUCCUUCUUUUCUUCCUUCCCUCCUCACCCUCCCUUUCCUUCCUUUCUUCCCCCUUCCUUCCUUUCCCUUUCCUUCCUUUUCUUCUCAUUCCUUUCCAACAGUGAAAGGAAACUUUCAUAAAAUAAUCAGGAAACUCAGACUGACUGAUGCCAGCACUGAACUUAAUGGAGCCUGAUAAGAAGCUUUUGAUUUUUCUUUUGGCCUUAAUUAGUCCUUUCAAGAUUGAGGCAAGUUCAGGGCCAAGGCAAGAAGGAGGCCAGUUGAAACCCCACCCUGCCCUUGACUCUUCAGCAAGGCUUUCUACAAAGGCUGAGCCAGACUUCCCAAUGCAAAGUAUCAAUUUCCUUUGAUUCCACUGAUACCCAGUUUACUUGUGUUAGAUGCUCUGGCUGUAAUUUACCUGUGAUCAGUUGAGACCACACAGGUACUAUAUAGGCUCAAUAGGGUCAGACUACUGAGUGAUGUUGAGGAAUGCAGACAUUCUUGAGGAAGCCCACUUUUAUGAAUCUGUUCUAAUAUUGGCUCACUAAUUUUUCUCCAUCCUUCUUAUUUUAAAUUAAGGGAAAUGGAUCUCUUAGAAUUCUGUGAUUUCCCUAUAGGGUAAGGUACGGAAGGAGUGUCUUACUGAUGCUCUUUGUCUUGGUGUCCUGGUGUCUCCAGGAAGAAGGAAGAUGAAAGGCUAGGCAGGGCAUUCACCCUCAGCAUUUAGGAAGAUAAGGGUUGCCUCUCACAUUUAAUACUAUAGUUUUGUCUAAAAGCGGAUAAAAUUAGUUUUGGCUCUUCCCACUUUGUGCUAACUCUUCUUAGCUUGCCAUCUCAUACCAUGCUGUACUUCCAGAAAUAAUUUUUCUUGACCAUACCCCACUUUCCUUGCUCUAAGCUCAUCUUACCUUGAAACCCAGAAGUUGGGGAGUUGGGGGAGGGAUCGACCAGUUACACUGAAUAUGUCCUGCUAUUACAUCUUUUUUUUUUUUGAGCAAAAAGAUGGGGCUGUUCUAAAAUGCCCAUGGGGUUUCCCCCUGUACAGGCUAAGGUCUUAUGUUUAAGUGAAAGGGAGAGGUGGUGGAGCCUGCCAUUCUGGGGGAACCCAGAGGGCACUAAUGGCUUUUUAAAAUCCUAAAUGAAUUAUGGUAGGUAAGUUCUGCUCCCAUCAGAGGUAAGAGCUAACUAGUCAGCCUGGAGAGACUAUCUCCUGGGACUGUGUGGUGAAUUUCUUCUGCUAUAAAAAUGGAUGUUACAAAUGUGAACUCUGGGAUAGAUAUAAGGUCUAAAGCCUUGGGAAGAACAAGAGGGGAAUGAUGAAUGGGAAGGAGAGUGAAGCUAUCUGACUUCUUUGUUCUGGGCUUUCUUUCUCUGAUGCUCUGCUCUCCUCUCCCCAUCUCACUAAGUAAAGGGAGGUGCCCCAGAACAAGCAGAUCAGUGCCUGUAAAUUCUCUUUCAGAGGGCCAGGGGAGGAAGGAGUGAGGCAGUAUUACAUAAUAAUACAUAAACUGGAAUUAGUCAUCAGAACCAUUUGUUUUGGGACAGAUCUAGAGCCUGGAGGAGAAAGAGUGAAAAGUGUGUGUGUGUGUGUGUGUGUGUGUGUGUGUGUGUGUGUGUGUGUGUUUGGGAGGAAGAUGGGGAUAGGUACUACUUGGGUUCAGGUAUAAGGGGUCAAGGCAGCUCCUAAUGUCCCUGGCCCAUGCAUUCCUUUUCUGAGUCUCUGCCCCAUCUACCAAAUAAAGAGAGAAAUCCUAGAAUGAACA